This 237-nucleotide unclassified non-coding RNA is filed under the name Hevea brasiliensis (rubber tree). The record is from RNAcentral. Lineage: Eukaryota; Viridiplantae; Streptophyta; Magnoliopsida; Malpighiales; Euphorbiaceae.
AAAAUUUAAAGCUGGACAGAACCUAAGAUAUUUACAGAUUUGGCUUCAUCAUAUCACUUGACUUUAUUUUACUAGUCAGAAUGCUAUCAGUUAUAGGCCAUAAACUGUGAAAGGAGCAACAAACAUGGUCGGCUAUCCACUAAAAUCUCAUUGCUUGGAGACAUUAGUGAUAAACCUCCUCCAGUGGACACAUUAUCUUUUUCCCUUUUGUGUGUCAUAGCCAGUAUUAUUUACACA